Molecule: long non-coding RNA, 855 nt
Organism: Piliocolobus tephrosceles (Ugandan red Colobus)
Lineage: Eukaryota; Metazoa; Chordata; Mammalia; Primates; Cercopithecidae
Exons: 7
Source: RefSeq, a predicted model, not a curated record
CUCGUUUUUCUCCGUCAGUCUUGGCGGAAGCCUGAGACGCAGUAGAUGGAGACUCUCCCUUUCGCCUUGGCGUACUCCGUUUUUUUCCUUCCUGGAGCUGGUCUUGCGGGGCAGCCCUAAAAUGUAUAUCCAAGUGACUUGCUCUCAUCACUUGCUGUCUUGAGCUUACUUUCCUCGUUCGUAGAAUGGAGAUACCACACUUUCUGAAGUGCUUAUGAGACUUGCAGGAGGGAGGAAUCUCCCAGUGUUUGUGCCCCGUUUUGAUCUGAGUUAAAGCCGCAAACACAGCUGAAGCCUGGGCCAUCCACAGAAGACCCGGUGUUCUCUUUCUCCAGCUUUUUAGGAGCAGCCUUUCCAGCUUGCUUUUAGGAAUGAUAGCAUCAGCAAACACAGGAGAAAGAGGCUGGAUGGGCCAGCAGCUGUAAGACGCCAGGAUAUUGGAAGCUUCAGCUGCCCAUUGUUUUCAGAAGAGUAUGUGUUUCUCAUGGGCAAAGGAGAGAAUCCAGAGUGAGAAGCUGAAGAAAGUGGGAAGUCCUAGACUGGCGUGGUUUCAAAAGAAACACUGGGGUACACAUGAAAGGGGGAACAGGCAGACAUGAAGAAGAAAACAGCCCUGGAGUCCGGGUGCUGAUUGCCUUUUUUAUUCGCCUGAAAAGCCUCUCAGUGGAUUGAUUUGUGAUUUGGAUACCGCUUCUCCAGCUCGGGACUCUGAAGUCUGUGCUUGUCAUGCACUUCAGACAGUCAGCAGCCUGCUCAUAGGUUUUUCAUCCACUGAAGUUCUCACCCUCACCUGUCUGCUGCUCAACUUUAUUUUAUUUAUUUAUUUAUUUAUUUUAUUUAUUUAUUUUUUUUUUU